UACGUAGGGGGCAAGCGUUAUCCAGAUUUACUGGGCGGAAAGCGCGUGUAGGCGGCUGGUUAGGCGUGAUGUGAAAUCUUCCGGCUCAACCGGAAAACUGCAUUGCGAACCGGCCUGGCUAGAGUGCAGGAGAGGGAAGCGGAAUUCCAGGUGUAGCGGUGGAAUGCGUAGAGAUCCGGAGGAACACCAGCGGCGAAGGCGGCAUCCUGGACUGGUCCUGACGCUCAGGAGCGAAAGCGUGGGGAGCGAUCCGG
RNAcentral lists this ribosomal RNA (254 nucleotides) under uncultured bacterium. Its description in RNAcentral is "partial 16S ribosomal RNA". It matches the Rfam family "Bacterial small subunit ribosomal RNA", at positions 524 to 776 of the family's 1533-position model. The record is from RNAcentral.